CUUGGUCAAUUUAGAGGAAGUAAAAGUCGUAACAAGGUUUCCGUAGGUGAACCUGCGGAAGGAUCAUUAUCGAUUUUUAAAGAUGUGCUGGCACUCCUUCACCGGUUUGCAUGUGCACUCUACAAAAUCUCCUUCUCUUACCCCACUGUGCACACCCAAGUAGACAAACAGAGUUACAGAGCAAUCUGUGUAAUUCCUGAUUUGCCUAUGUUUUUAUCAAACACCAAUAAAAUUUUCAGAAUGAUCUAUAUAGUAAGCUUUUAACAAGCUGAAAUUUAAUACAACUUUCAACAAUGGAUCUCUUGGUUCUCGCAUCGAUGAAGAACGCAGCGAAUUGCGAUAUGUAAUGUGAAUUGCAGAAUUCAGUGAAUCAUCGAAUCUUUGAACGCACCUUGCACCCUCUGGCAUUCUGGAGGGUAUGCCUGUUUGAGUGUCAUUAAUCUCUCAACACAAGAAACUUUGUCUUCUUGUGCUUGGAUAUUGAAGGUUUUGCUGGCGCAAACAACUGUCAGCUCCUUUUAAAUGUAUUAGCAGAGCAGUAUAGGACUGGCCUCGGUUUGAUAAGAAACUUUAUCUAUGCUGUCGCUGGGUUUUCCUCUUUGUGCUCAGCUUCAAAUUGUCUUUGGACUGUCUCUUUGAGGCAAAAAAACUCUAUUGAUCGACCUCAAAUCAGGUAGGACUACCCGCUGAACUUAAGCAUAUCAAUA
Molecule: ribosomal RNA, 707 nt
Filed under: Clavaria falcata
Lineage: Eukaryota; Fungi; Basidiomycota; Agaricomycetes; Agaricales; Clavariaceae
Description: eukaryotic LSU rRNA
Rfam family: 5.8S ribosomal RNA (bases 283-436)
Source: RNAcentral